AAGUGAUCCAAAAGAAGCCUACCCCCAUUCUACCACAUUUCUAGACAAUGAUGUUUUGUGCACUAGUUUUCUCAAUGCCAAUGGAAGGACCGAUUUAUGAGUUUUAAAAAGGCUUAGGGAUAAUGUUGCACUCUUUCAAAACUUGAUACUAAUAUGAGAUGACCGAUUUAUUCUUCACCAUCAAAAUACAUAUUUCCAAAUCCUUUUUAUAUGAAGCAGCCAAAACAAUCCAUAAACCUAUAUUAAUUAGGUAAACCAAUUAUUUAAGAACCGUGCUAACAUAUGAGAUCAAUACAUAGAGGUGCAUGUCUAGAAUAUAAACCCUAACACAGCACACACUCCG
Molecule: unclassified non-coding RNA, 343 nt
Filed under: Hevea brasiliensis (rubber tree)
Lineage: Eukaryota; Viridiplantae; Streptophyta; Magnoliopsida; Malpighiales; Euphorbiaceae
Source: RNAcentral